UUAUCACAUGCAAUUCACCCUUGAAAGCUUCGAGACAAACAUUAGCACUCAUUGGCACAUCAAUGAAGACCUUCAAGCUGGAGACAACGGCCUUUGGAAUUUUCUAUGAAAGCAAUAGAGCAAAAGCACAAAAACAAAACAAACAAUUAAUACACGGAGAUUAAAUAUAGUGAAUGAAAGACAAUAAACAAAAUCAAGUGGAUUCAUUGGGAAGAAAUAAAUUCAUACUAAGCUUAUUAACCUAGAAUAAGUUAAAAAUAGCAUACACUAUUUAAAAAAGGUAAAAAACUCAAAGAAGUAUACAUGGAAGACUGCCUCAUAACAAAAAAGUGUUAUGUUAAUACUAGCAUUCAUACGAUUACUUCCAUUUACAUUUACAUUAUAGAAAGAUGCUUGGUUUUUAUUGCAAACGAAUUGUUUACUGGACACCUAAAAAAUAUAGAAAAAAACCUUCCAUUUACAUUAUACUACCAACUAUUUAAACAGAACAAGAGGAAAAAUUAAGAGCUAAAAAUUCAGAAAAAUAAUUAAACCAAAACUAGAAACAAAGAAUUACCAUUAAGAACUUCUCAGUAUUUGUUGCAGUCAACACAUGAACAUAUGGCAUGCAUCCUAGAAAAAAUGAUGUACGGAAGAUAGAUGUCACAAACUCUUGAUUGUCAUGAUAGUUGAAUCGGAGACCCCGAGGAAUGACAACAGAGCAAACAAGCUGAUACUUUGCAUCAGUCAGAUUUUCAAACGUUGCGAAAGACAAAAGAGAUAAGUCACAGCCAAGUAAAAAGUCUAUAGCAUUAGAGCAGAAAAAACAAGAUUACGAAUCACACACAUACCACAAUCAGGAGUAGGAAGAAUCCGAUGGCCAGCAUGGUAAGUUUCUACUUUCAAAUCAAACACUGAGUGGUCUAGAGUGAAUACGACACAGUCUCCAGCACGAAGAGCAUAGUCCUGGGUAAGUUCAUUCCAAGCUGCACCACAGAACUUAGAGUAACGGCCUCGGUGCUUAAAGACUGCAGCAUAAGAUCUGCUCUCAAAGGUAAGCAGAGCAGGCUCAAUCCUCUUGUAGCCUGACAUCUGGGCGACAUUCCUGUGCUCCUGAAUGUAAGCAGCUAAGGGAGCCCUUACAUUGCAUGGAAUGUACUAGAUUGAAUAAAACAACAAAGUCAAUACAAAUGAAAAGUACAAAAAUAAAAAAUUGAAUACUGAUAAAUCUAAACUUGCAUUAGUUUAACCACAUCGGCAAAAUUCAGACUAUACAUAUAAAAAUAUACAGUGGAUUAACGUUACUAGAAAUGGAGAAUUUUCACCCUCAAACUAAAAACAGUGGAUUAAAUUCAGACUAUGAACUUCCAUGCAAUAUACAAAUAGCAAAAAAGAUUCAGUCAUUUUCCGCACUGAGUUUCACUUUAAAAAAAGUGUGUGUUCAUCAAUAUCAACUGAGAAAAUCUUAUCCUUUGAUAUACCAAAAGGUUACAACAUUCAUGAUAGUAGGAAUUUACACACUAGGCAAAACAGGAAGUUUAUAGAAAAACUCAUCACAAAAAGAACUAAAAAAGAAAAUAAAUCUUGCAUACUCAUAAUUCUAAACUUACGCACACAUUGAUGCAGAAAAAAAUACUAGAAAAUGAAAUGUUGUCGUUCAACUACUUACUGAAAAAAGGCACUAGAAAAAUCCAACCAAUUUAAAAGUCACUUGAUAAAACUUGCACACAAAUCAUGUCACUUGAUGAAAAGUCGCUUCAUAAAAAAGAAAAAGUAAGCUUCAUACUCACAAAUCUAAAACUUGCACACACAUUAGAACAACAACAAAAAAAGUAAAAAGAUCCAUUAUAGUCCAUAUCCAUAGUAACAUACAAGGAGUCCUGGUCUAACAUUUAUUUUAUCCAAGGCUAUUAAGACAGUGAGUUUUACUUAAAAUAUCAACUGAAAAAAAAAUCUUAUUCUAUAAUAUAUAUUCAUUGCACAUUCAUUGUGCAAAAAUGUGCAUACUCAUAUAGAACUAAAAAGAAGAUACAAUCUUGCAUACUCAUACUUCUAAACUUGCGCACACAUUAAAGUAUCACAUACAAAAACUAGAAAUGAAAUGGUGUCAUUCAACUACUUAUUGAAAAAAAGGCACUAGAAAAAUCGCUGUAAUUUAAAAGUCACAAGAUAAAUUGCAUACACCUAUAUGUAAAACUUACACACAAAUCAUGUCACUUCAUAAAUAAGUCACUUGAUAAAAAGAAAAAAGGAAGUUGCAUACUCACAAAUUAAAAUUUGCACACACAUUAGAACAACAAAAACAAAAAAUACAUAUCCAUUAUAAUCCAUAUCCAGAGUAACAUACAAAGAGUCCUGGUCUAACAUUUAUUUUAUCCACGGCUAUUAAGACAGUGAGUUUUACUUAAAAGAUCAACUGAAAAAAAUCUUAUUCUAUAAUAUAUAUUGGUUGCACAUUCAUUGUGCGAAAAUGUGCAUACUCAUAUAGAACUAAAAAGAAGAUACAAUCUUGCAUACUCAUACUUCUAAACUUGCGCACACAUUAAAGUAUGACAUACAAAAACUAGAAAUGAAAUGGUGUCAUUCAACUACUUAUGGAAAAAAGGAACUAGAAAAAUCCCCGUAAUUUAAAAGUCACAAGAUAAAUUGCAUACACCUAUAUGUAAAACUUACACACAAAUCAUGUCACUUCAUAAAGAAGUCACUUGAUAAAAAAGAAAAAAGGAAGUUGCAUACUCACAAAUUAAAACUUGCACACACAUUAGAACAGCAAAAACAAAAGUACAUAUCCACUAUAAUCCAUAUCCAGAGUAACAUACAAAGAGUCCUGGUCUAACAUUUAUUUUAUCCACAGCUAUUAAGACAGUGAGUUUUACUUAAAAUAUCAACUGAAAAAAAAUCUUAUUCUAUAAUAUAUAUUCGUUGCACAUUCAUUGUGCGAAAAUUUGCAUACUAAUAUAGAACUAAAAAGAAGAUACAAUCUUGCAUACUCAUACUUCUAAACUUGCGCACACAUUAAAGUAUGACAUACAAAAACUAGAAGUGAAAUGGUAUCAUUCAACUACUUAUGGAAAAAAGGAACUAGAAAAAUCCCCGUAAUUUAAAAGUCACAAGAUAAAUUGCAUACACCUAUAUGUAAAACUUACACACAAAUCAUGUCACUUCAUAAAGAAGUCACUUGAUAAAAAAGAAAAAAGGAAGUUGCAUACUCACAAAUUAAAACUUGCACACACAUUAGAACAGCAAAAACAAAAGUACAUAUCCACUAUAAUCCAUAUCCAAAGUAACAUACAAAGAGUCCUGGUCUAACAUUUAUUUUAUCCACAGCUAUUAAGACAGUGAGUUUUACUUAAAAUAUCAACUGAAAAAAAAUCUUAUUCUAUAAUAUAUAUUCGUUGCACAUUCAUUGUGCAAAAAUGUGCAUACUCAUAUAGAACUAAAAAGAAGAUACAAUCUUGCAUACUCAUACUUCUAAACUUGCGCACACAUUAAAGUAUCACAUACAAAAACUAGAAAUGAAAUGGUGUCAUUCAACUACUUAUUGAAAAAAAGGCACUAGAAAAAUUGCCGUAAUUUAAAAGUCACAAUAUAAAUUGCAUACACCUAUAUGUAAAACUUACACACAAAUCAUGUCACUUCAUAAAGAAGUCACUUGAUAAAAAGAAAAAAGGAAGUUGCAUACUCACAAAUUAAAAUUUGCACACACAUUAGAACAACAAAAACAAAAAAUACAUAUCCAUUAUAAUCCAUAUCCAGAGUAACAUACAAAGAGUCCUGGUCUAACAUUUAUUUUAUCCAUGGCUAUUAAGACAGUGAGUUUUACUUAAAAUAUCAACUGAAAAAAAUCUUAUUCUAUAAUAUAUAUUCGUUGCACAUUCAUUGUGCAAAAAUGUGCAUACUCAUAUAGAACUAAAAAGAAGAUACAAUCUUGCAUACUCAUACUUCUAAACUUGCGCACACAUUAAAGUAUUACAUACAAAAACUAGAAAUGAAAUGGUGUCAUUCAACUACUUAUUGAAAAAAGGCAUUAGAAAAAUCCCCGUAAUUUAGAAGUCACAAGAUAAAUUGCAUACACCUAUAUGUAAAACUUACACACAAAUCAUGUCACUUCAUAAAGAAGUCACUUGAUAAAAAAGAAAAAAGGAAGUUGCAUACUCAAAAAUUAAAACUUGCACACACAUUAGAACAGCAAAAACAAAAGUACAUAUCCACUAUAAUCCAUAUCCAAAGUAACAUACAGAGAGUCUUGGUCUAACAUUUAUUUUAUCCACAGCUAUUAAGACAGUGAGUUUUACUUAAAUAUCAACUGAAAAAAAAAUCUUAUUCUAUAAUAUAUAUUCAUUGCACAUUCAUUGUACAAAAAAGUGCAUACUCAUAUAGAACUAAAAAGAAAAUGAAAACUUGCAUACUCAUACUUCUAAACUUGCGCACACAUUAAAGUAUCACAUACAAAAACUAGAAAUGAAAUGAUGUCAUUCAACUACUUAUUGAAAAAAAGGCACUAGAAAAAUCCCCCUAAUUUAAAAGUCACAAGAUAAAUUGCAUACACCUAUAUAUAAAACUUGCACACAAAUCAUGUCACUUCAUAAAGAAGUCACUUGAUAAAAAAGAAAAAAGGAAGUUGCAUACCCACAAAUUUAAACUUGCACACACAUUAGAACAACAAAAACAAAAAUACAUAUCCAUUAUAAUUCAUAUCCAUAGUAACAUACAAUGUGUACUGGUCUAACUGUUAUUUUAUCCACGGCUAUUAAGACAGUCAGUUUUACUUAAAUAUCAACUGGAAAAAUCUUAUCCUAGCAUAUAUAUUCAUGGAGUUAGGGUUCCAUGAAUACUCAUAUAGAACUAAAAGAAAAUAAUCUUGCAUACUCAUAAUUCUAAACAAAUAAAAUAGCAUUGAAAAAUGUAUCAUUCAACUACUUAUUGCAGAAAAAUCCCCCUAAUGUAAAAAGUCACUUGAUAAAAUUGCAUACACAUAAUUAUAAAACUUGCACGCAUUCCACAACAACAACAACAAAAACCAUAGUAACAUACAAGCUAUUUCCCGGUCUAAUUUUUUUUAUCCACAGCUAGUAAGACAGUGAGUUUAACUUAAAAAAUGUUAGUAUUCAUCAAUAUCAAACUGAGAAAAAAACUUAUCCUUGAAUAUAUCAACUUCAACCUCAUCAUAAGUGUUAAUGCUCAUGAUACUACAAACGCGGACACUACAAAAACAGCAAGUCUAUAUAAACCUCAUUAUAAGAAGAACUAAAAAUAAAAUUUGCAUACUCAUAAAUCUAAACUUGCACACAGAAUAACACAAAUAACUCAUAAAUCUAAAUUAGGACUACCAUUGAAGAUAUCAUGAAGUGCUUACUGCAAGAAAGCACUCGUAUACACAAUCAUUCACACAUACUACUAGGAAAAGACAAUUAAAAGAGUAAAUACAAAAAGGAAACAAGAAAAAAUAGCUCACCAUCCACCUGAAGCAAUUCUCAUCAAGGACGACGUCAAAGCCUUCAGGGACUCCAUGAUCUCCAGCAAAUGGAACACAGGGGGCACCCGGACAACGACAAACAGGGCAAACCAUAGCUGCAAAAAAAACUAAAUUUUUCAACAACAAACCGUACGCAUAGAGCAUCCUGUCUCUACUCUAACAAAACAAAUUACAUCACACAGACAAAGAAAAGAUAGUCCACAAGAUAUACAUUGUUAAUUACUCAAAAAAACCUCCAUAAAAUCUACUGAACAAUUACAAAUUACAUGCAUGUGCAUAUGUAUAACUGAAAACUUCCACAAAUUCCUCAACAAGAAAAUAGCAUACACACAAAUACGAACAUCCUAAUACAUCAAUUAAAGACACCAUCCUGCUACUGCAUGGACUCAAGACACUAUGGAGACCUACAAAUAACAAAACAUAUACGAAAAAGAUUGCAUCUUUAAGAGAUAUACAAGACAAACUAAAUUACACACAUCAAAACCCUAAUAAUCCUAAACCUCAAUCCAAUCCGUAAAAAACAAAUCAUUGCACCCCUGCCAAAACCUAAAGAUACUUCAUGCAUUACAACUAAAAACAAUAGAGAUGAAAUCAAUACCUGCAAACUUUCAGAUGCACAAACGGACAGUCCUUCGGACAACCAGAGUC
Molecule: long non-coding RNA, 6103 nt
Filed under: Triticum aestivum (bread wheat)
Lineage: Eukaryota; Viridiplantae; Streptophyta; Magnoliopsida; Poales; Poaceae
Description: long non-coding RNA (TAES_LNC001138)
Source: RNAcentral